UUUGGUCGUUUUGGUAGAUGAACGCCCUAGAAACAGUUGGACGCGAUGCCGUAUCGUACAGGUUAUCAAAGGAAGCGAUGGCAGAAUCCGACAAGCACUUGUUAAAACUGCGAAGGGGGUUUUGCGUCGAUCAGCUGCCAGAUUGGUGGUAUUACAGGUUCAAAGCGUUAGUAAAACUGGAUCAGGUGACGGUGAUCAGUGUUACGGGGGGGAUAAUGUUACUGGCAGCACUGCCCGUCGCGAUGCACCCAUGGAUGACACAGGAGGGGUCGGAAUGGCGCAAACUGCCUAGUGUCAAAACUGAUUUCGCAUCUUCGCUCAAGUACGCCCGGUUCGAAUCAGUUCAACGGAAGUAAUAAAAAACGAAGCAAAAAUUUUCAUUUCCGGUAGAAAACGCUUUCGCUUCAGACGUAGCUAGAAGAGUAAAGUCGCGCAGUGUUUCGUAGUUGAAAAUUAGAUAGAUUAGAAACAAGACUCUGUUUGAAUUGGAUACCUGUUUUUUUCAGUGGCGAUCUGGAUCUAUUCGAAUCUAUAAAGUCAAACUAGCCGAAAACCGUAAGCUUGUAGAAUUUGCUGCUUUUUUCUAAUCUAACCUAUAAACACCUAACACAGGAAUACGCGUGGGAGAUCAGCGAUUCUGUAGGAAUCGAAUAAUCGAGUGUGUUGUAGACCGAUUGAUCUAAAAGCAUUGCAAAACAUAAACUAGUGUUUGUACUAGCUCUAAGGAAGUCGGUGCCCACUCCCAUCUCGGUUGACGGAACACAAGCUAUGCAAGCAGCAGCAGAAGCAAGGAGCUGUCAACGACGAGCGAAACCGCCACUAAAACACGUUCUACGGAAGACACUAGAGAACCAAAAACAAGAAACAAGAACGUUGCCAUCAAGUCGACCACCACAUCAGAUACAGCUGCGAACACGGUCACCACCACAACAACCGAAGAAAACAUCGAUCAGUGAUCAGCCUACUGAAGCCGGCGUACAAGCAGCAUUGCCUACACAACAACAAUCUUCUGAUUAGGCAAGUUAGCGGUAAAGGUGCAAAUCCGUCUGAGCGACAUUGACUGAUACAGGCGUGGGUCUAGAACGCAGUGGUAGUCUGUUACAUGGAGGUCACUACGAAAAACUCUACCGAAGCAACGAGACCGGGGGGUGCGGUAAAACCUCCUAUUGGGCUCGUAGUUAUUUGGGAUUCGGAAAUGUUUCCUUUUCUCAAACGUAGCAGUCAGUGUCCGCUGUCCUCGUUCUUUUAUUAGCCAGCUUUAGUUUGUACAUUAUGUUACAUGUAAGAUCUCUAGUUUUAUUGUUACUCCUAAAACUAGUGUAGAUCAAGUUUGAGUGUUUUGCCACAGGACCAGCAUAACAUAGAUGAUGGGACAAGAAAAUCUCAGAGACUUUUGCUCAUUAGUGAGCGUUCAGAUCACCUCUGGCAGGACUCGCUGCCGUUAUGUUUGAGCUUUUGGAUCUGGCGAGCAAAGAUGCUUGCGUUUGUUAGUUAUGUUGUAGUUGUAAAAAUACUAAGGUUUGCUUAAGUCGAUGACGUUUGAUCUGCUCUGUCUCUCUGCGACUUCUUGAGGAAGUGAGUCUAAGAGUUUUUUGUGAGCUGCCUGUCAGCGCUCACAAAAAACUCUGCGUCUGUGGUAAGGUUGUGUUACGUUAAGUUUUGUUAUCAUUCGUAUCGUCUGUAUUUGGAGUCCGAAUAGUUAAGAAACAUGUGUAGGAUUAAAAUUAAUCGAGUCGACUGAAACGCAUUGAAAAUAUUAGUUUGAGAUCCCCUGCCAAUUGCACCCUUGCGCCACUAUCAUGGUUGAUAGUUUGUCGUGCUCCUAUGCCAAACGACCAGUGGAGACAAACAAAAUGCGAAAUGAAGGCGACAACACUCACAACGGUACCGCGUAAAUAAUGGCUUAGCCUGAAACAAACCUCAAUCCCAAGAGAAAACGGUAUUGCAAAACAUCACCACCCUUUGAAAAUACACACACAUGAACACUCCUGUCUCUUUUGAUAAUACAAAGAGAAACAGAAAAACGAUCACCACUGAGAAGGCACAUCAGUUCGGUUCUGUCCACGGGAGAAGCCGUAUUCCCCUGCAAUAACGACUGUCCGUCGUCCACGGCCCGCAGAAAAGUUUGGUGAAAAUUAGUUUUCCACGCCAAAGUGCACUUUUACCGCAGGACACAGAAAAGAUCGCAACAGGUGCGCUGAAGUUCUUGGAUUAAUAAUAAGGUUGACGCCGUUUUCCGUGGAACAUAGAAUUACUAUCUUCCAUUUUGCAUCCGCAGUUUUGGACGCCACCGGGCGCGUGGCUUGAAUCAGCACAAUUGUGGUGCAGACGUGCCUGUGGCUCGACACAGUUGACCACACGAAGUGUAGAAGGUUCAUAAAACUCCUUUGGCCGUCGGAUUGAUUUCCAGCGAGUAUCGGAGUAUAAAUUCAGGUGAGUUGGAAAACAAACCACUCGUCAUGCGAAAUUCGACACAAAAUCUCACGACGCCAUUUUGUCGUUAGCUUUCAGCAAGCUUUCGUUCCUUGUACCGACUGAACGACACUUAUUGAGCCGACAGGCGGUUGCUAAUCGACAGGCCGAAAUUGCAAGCACAUCAAGGCAUAGUGGACAAUUUUCGCGGGACAGAACCAACGGCAUUCUGCAAGCCAUUUCACGAAGAACCCCAGAACGGGGUUUUUCUCAGGAGCUUCGAUCCGGUUUCGCUUUGGGGUUGUCAAGGCUCGUCAUCCCGGCCAAGUCGACGGUGCUCUCGCAUGCUGCAUGAAGUAGGCUCAAGGACACAUACGAGCCGCAGAGGAUCAGAGCCAUCCAGGUCCGUCCUGCAGGGCGAACAUUCUUCAUCGGCGAUCUUGUUGUGAUCGGCGAGCACGGCGCGUCGUUGGAAUCCACGACGAAUAACGACGCAGCGGAGCGGCUUACGACAUGGCGGGCAUGGUAGCAAGGUGCACACGUGAAGCAUAGAUGUGAGGUCGUGAGUAGAUGUUUAGUUUUUAAGAGAAGAUCAUGUGACAUUAAUCCAUAAGAAAGCUAGGCACAACAGAUAGGCACCGAAGAUUCGGCACAAGAGUCAUGCCAAAAAUACAAUGAUGAUACGAAAAACUUGAAACUUUUAUUUGUUGGUGAGGAGCUUCUAGUGUUUGCAUUUAGAUCCUUUUUGGUAGUCUUGCUCUACCGGCUACCGGGGAUUUCUCAACACCGGGUGUAAAUCAGCUACUUAAAAAUAGCAUCUGUAAACUUCCUGUGAAUUUGAGAAUUCUAUAACUUCAUUAUUUUUUUUAGGUCUUGUUAUUCAUUCUAAAUACAUUUCAUUUUC
Armigeres subalbatus is the source of this 3316-nucleotide long non-coding RNA. RefSeq lists it as uncharacterized. NCBI's taxonomy places the organism in Eukaryota, Metazoa, Arthropoda, Insecta, Diptera, Culicidae. The transcript is spliced from 3 exons. The record is from RefSeq and is a predicted model, not a curated record.